UACAGAGGUCCCAAGCGUUGUUCGGAUUUACUGGGCGUAAAGGGUGCGUAGGUGGCGAGGUAAGUUUGAUGUGAAAUCUCCGAGCUCAACUCGGAAACGGCAUUGAAUACUAUCCCGCUUGAGGGUCGGAGGGGAGACUGGAAUUCUCGGUGUAGCAGUGAAAUGCGUAGAUAUCGAGAGGAACACCAGUGGCGAAGGCGAGUCUCUGGACGACUCCUGACACUGAGGCACGAAAGCUGGGGAGCAAACAGG
Molecule: ribosomal RNA, 252 nt
Filed under: uncultured bacterium
Lineage: Bacteria
Description: partial 16S ribosomal RNA
Rfam family: Bacterial small subunit ribosomal RNA
Source: RNAcentral